Molecule: unclassified non-coding RNA, 90 nt
Filed under: Pseudomonas sp. A214
Lineage: Bacteria; Pseudomonadati; Pseudomonadota; Gammaproteobacteria; Pseudomonadales; Pseudomonadaceae
Source: RNAcentral
UGUGGGAGCGAGCCUGCUCGCGAUAGCGGUGGGUCAGUCAGGAAUGUUGUCGACUGAUCCACCGCUAUCGCGAGCAGGCUCGCUCCCACA